RNAcentral lists this long non-coding RNA (307 nucleotides) under Mytilus galloprovincialis (Mediterranean mussel). The record is from RNAcentral. Lineage: Eukaryota; Metazoa; Mollusca; Bivalvia; Mytilida; Mytilidae.
UGUGUUUUAUACCGCUAAUGUACAAUCUGUUAUGUUCUGAAGUAAUUUGUAGUUGUGUGUUUUAUAUUUCUUAUGUACAAUUUGUUCUGUUCUGAAGUAACUUGUAGUUGUGUGUUUAAUACUGCUUGUGUACAAAUUGUUAUGUUCUGAAGUAAUUUUUAGAACUUUGUUUGUUUUAUACUGCUUAUGUACAAUCUGUUAUGUUCUGAAGUAACUUGUAGUUGUGUGUUUUAUACUGCUGGUGUACAAUCUGUUAUGUUCUGAAGUAACAUGUAGUUAUGUGUGUUUUAUACUGCUGGUGUACAAU